Molecule: ribosomal RNA, 497 nt
Filed under: uncultured bacterium
Lineage: Bacteria
Description: partial 16S ribosomal RNA
Rfam family: Bacterial small subunit ribosomal RNA
Source: RNAcentral
GAUGAACGCUGGCGGCGUGCCUAAUACAUGCAAGUCGAGCGAACAGACAAGGAGCUUGCUCCUUUGACGUUAGCGGCGGACGGGUGAGUAACACGUGGGUAACCUACCUAUAAGACUGGAAUAACUCCGGGAAACCGGGGCUAAUGCCGGAUAACAUUUAGAACCGCAUGGUUCUAAAGUGAAAGAUGGUUUUGCUAUCACUUAUAGAUGGACCCGCGCCGUAUUAGCUAGUUGGUAAGGUAACGGCUUACCAAGGCAACGAUACGUAGCCGACCUGAGAGGGUGAUCGGCCACACUGGAACUGAGACACGGUCCAGACUCCUACGGGAGGCAGCAGUAGGGAAUCUUCCGCAAUGGGCGAAAGCCUGACGGAGCAACGCCGCGUGAGUGAUGAAGGUCUUCGGAUCGUAAAACUCUGUUAUUAGGGAAGAACAAAUGUGUAAGUAACUGUGCACGUCUUGACGGUACCUAAUCAGAAAGCCACGGCUAACUACGUG